This 253-nucleotide ribosomal RNA is filed under the name uncultured bacterium. Its description in RNAcentral is "partial 16S ribosomal RNA". It matches the Rfam family "Bacterial small subunit ribosomal RNA", at positions 524 to 776 of the family's 1533-position model. The record is from RNAcentral.
UACAGAGGUCCCAAGCGUUGUCCGGAAUUAUUGGGCGUAGAGAGCUCGUAGGCGGUUUGUCGCGUCGGCUGUGAAAACCUGGGGCUCAACCCCGGGCCUGCAGUCGAUACGGGCAGACUAGAGUGCGGUAGGGGAGACUGGAAUUCCUGGCGUAGCGGUGAAAUGCGCAGAUAUCAGGAGGAACACCGGUGGCGAAGGCGGGUCUCUGGGCCGUAACUGACGCUGAGGAGCGAAAGCGUGGGGAGCGAACAGG